RNAcentral lists this ribosomal RNA (242 nucleotides) under uncultured bacterium. RNAcentral's name for it is "partial 16S ribosomal RNA". It matches the Rfam family "Bacterial small subunit ribosomal RNA", at positions 97 to 334 of the family's 1533-position model. The record is from RNAcentral.
UGCGAACGGGUGAGUAACGCGUAGGUAACCUGCCUUGUAGCGGGGGAUAACUAUUGGAAACGAUAGCUAAUACCGCAUAACAAUGGAUGACCCAUGUCAUUUAUUUGAAAGGGGCAAAUGCUCCACUACAAGAUGGACCUGCGUUGUAUUAGCUAGUAGGUGAGGUAACGGCUCACCUAGGCGACGAUACAUAGCCGACCUGAGAGGGUGAUCGGCCACACUGGGACUGAGACACGGCCCAG